UUUUUAUAAUCCAGCCUAUUCAUUAUUAGAUUUGACUAAAUCAACCACACUCUGACUUUCAAAUGUAAAUACUUUAUUUAGUUUUAUAGAUUUAAUUAGUAUUACUUCAUGCAAUUAUUGCAUCUACAAACUUAUUAAAAUAAAUAAUUAGUUUAAAUUUUGAUAUCAAAUUAUCGUUGAUUGACUAAAAGAUUGGACGGUAGAAUCAAAAUUUUAAAAGAUUAGAUAACCGAUUUAAAAUAUUCAUAAGUUCAGAUGAAUUUCAUACAUUUUUAUUUUUUAAAUAAUAAUAAUAAUAAUAAUAUUAUUAUUAUUAUUAUAAAUUUAAAAUAAUAAUUAUUAUAAUAUAAAUAUUACAUGUGGUGAAUGGGAUGAUAGGAUAUAAAGAAAUG
This 392-nucleotide long non-coding RNA is filed under the name Ananas comosus (pineapple). Its description in RNAcentral is "long non-coding RNA (ACOM_LNC005213)". Lineage: Eukaryota; Viridiplantae; Streptophyta; Magnoliopsida; Poales; Bromeliaceae. The record is from RNAcentral.